This 468-nucleotide ribosomal RNA is filed under the name uncultured bacterium. RNAcentral's name for it is "partial 16S ribosomal RNA". It matches the Rfam family "Bacterial small subunit ribosomal RNA", at positions 28 to 507 of the family's 1533-position model. The record is from RNAcentral.
GACGAACGCUGGCGGCGUGCUUAACACAUGCAAGUCGAACGGAAAGGCCCUGCUUUUGUGGGGUGCUCGAGUGGCGAUCGGGUGAGUAACACGUGAGUAACCUGCCCUUGACUUUGGGAUAACUUCAGGAAACUGGGGUUAAUACCGGAUAGGAGCUCCUGCUGCAUGGUGGGGGUUGGAAAUUUUCGGCGGGUGGGGCUGGACGCGCGGCUUAUCAGCUUGCUGGUGGGGUAGUGGCCUACCAAGGCUUUGACGGGUAGCCGGCCUGAGAGGGUUACCGGCGACAUUGGGACUGAGAUACGGCCCAGACGACUACGGGAGGCAGCAGUGGGGAAUAUUGCACAAUGGGCGGAAGCCUGAUGCAAAAACGCCGCGUGCGGGAAGACGGCCUUCGGGUUGUAAACCGCUUUCGCCUAUGACGAAGCGUGAGUGACGGUAAUGGGUAAAGAAGCACCGGCUAACUACGUG